Molecule: long non-coding RNA, 1450 nt
Organism: Oncorhynchus gorbuscha (pink salmon)
Lineage: Eukaryota; Metazoa; Chordata; Actinopteri; Salmoniformes; Salmonidae
Exons: 2
Source: RefSeq, a predicted model, not a curated record
UACUUCCUUUUCCCAGCCUAGUUCCAAUACUCAUAACAUACUUCCUUUUCCCAGCCUAGUUCCAAUACCGACAACAUACUUCCUUUUCCCAGCCUAGUUCCAAUACCGACAACAUACUUCCUUUUCCCAGCCUAGUUCCAAUACCGACAACAUACUUCCUUUUCCCAGCCUAGUUCCAAUACUCACAACAUACUUCCUUUUCCCAGCCUAGUUCCAAUACUCAUAACAUACUUCCUUUUCCCAGCCUAGUUCCAAUACCGACAACAUACUUCCUUUUCCCAGCCUAGUUCCCGACAACAUACUUCCUUUUCCCAGCCUAGUUCCAAUACCGACAACAUACUUCCUUUCCCCGGCCUAGUUCCAAUACUCACAACAUACUUCCUUUCCCCGGCCUAGUUCCAAUAUGUAUCUCUUGUUCUAAUACAAACCACAUGCCACAUGACUUAUGCUAACACCUAUCUUUAUGUUCUCCAGAUCUACAGGGUCGAGACUUUCAAAAAAAAAAAAUAGAAAUAGAAUGAAAGGACUUUUUAAAAGAUGUAAAUUAAGUCUAGAUUUGUAUUUGUUUUGUGAUCGUGAUUUAUCUAUCUCUACAUAAUGUUGUCAUUGUAUGAAAGAAACCUUUUCUACAUCCCAAAUAACCCUCUAUUCACUUUAUCGUGCACUAUUUUAACCAGGGCCCAUAGGGCUCUAGGGCACUAUGUAGAAAAUAGGGCACCAUUUGGGACAGAUCCGUGAGUAAGUUUGAUUCGAGUUGUGUUUUCUGUGAAGCCUGUUCCUGAAUUUGUUUUGUAUUAGCCAACUCCCCUGAUUUAUCAAUUGUCAUGUUCUGGGUCUGUGUUCAUAAAGCCUCUCCUAGUAGGAGGGCUGAUCUAGGAUCAGUUUGUGCUUCAGCCAACCUGUCCGGGGGCCUGUAUUUAUAAAGCCUCUGCUGAUCUAGAAUCAGUUCCCCCUUUUUGUGUAUAAUCAUCCGAUUCUGAUAUUUUGCCCAGUCAAAAGACCAAUUAUUGCCAAAUAGAUCAGAAUUGGGCUGCCUGUGGAAAACACGGCCACCGUGAUCUAAAAGACUAAUCUGAUUCUAGAUCAGCCCUCCUACUAGGAGUGGCUUUAUGAAUACAGUUCCUGGACAGGUUGGCUGAAGCACAAACUGAUCCUAGAUCAGCUUUACUACUAGGAGAGGCUUUAUGACUACAGGCCCCGAACAGGUUAGCUGAAGCACAAACUGAUCCUAGAUCAGCUUUACUACUAGGAGAGGCUUUAUGACUACAGGCCCAAGACAGGUUGGCUGAAGCCUAAACUGAUCCUAGAUCAGCUCUACUACUGGGACAGGCUUUAUGACUACAGGCCCAAGACAGGUUGGCUGAAGCACAAACUGAUCUGGGACCUGGCUAUGUAUUGUUAUUGUAUAUUUGAUUAAUGAUACAAUGAAUAAACGUGUACAUUUCAACCA